GCCGCCGUAGCUCAGCCAGCCAGAGCGCCUCGUUGGUAACGAGGAUAUCGCCGGGGCAGCACCGGCCGGCGGCCCCA
This 77-nucleotide transfer RNA is filed under the name Oscillochloris sp. Its description in RNAcentral is "tRNA-Thr". It matches the Rfam family "tRNA". Rfam says of the family: Transfer RNA (tRNA) molecules are approximately 80 nucleotides in length. The record is from RNAcentral. Lineage: Bacteria; Bacillati; Chloroflexota; Chloroflexia; Chloroflexales; Oscillochloridaceae.